GACAGGGGGCUCGAGCGUUAAUCGGAAUCACUGGGCUUAAAGGGUGCGUAGGCGGGCCAGUAAGCGUCUUGUGAAAUCCCCCGGCUCAACCGAGGAACUGCCUGUCAGACUGGAAGGCUUGAGACCGGGAGAGGUGAGUGGAAUUCCCAGUGUAGCGGUGAAAUGCGUAGAUAUUGGGAGGAACACCAGUGGCGAAGGCGGCUCACUGGACCGGAACUGACGCUGAGGCGCGAAAGCGUGGGGAGCAAACAGG
Molecule: ribosomal RNA, 253 nt
Filed under: uncultured bacterium
Lineage: Bacteria
Description: partial 16S ribosomal RNA
Rfam family: Bacterial small subunit ribosomal RNA
Source: RNAcentral